Molecule: long non-coding RNA, 354 nt
Filed under: Malus domestica (apple)
Lineage: Eukaryota; Viridiplantae; Streptophyta; Magnoliopsida; Rosales; Rosaceae
Description: long non-coding RNA (MDOM_LNC006059)
Source: RNAcentral
CAUUCAUAUAAACCAUAUAAACUCACCUGAUACUCACCUGUGCGUCCACGGCACCAAUUCACACAUAUAUAUGCAUCAAUUAUCAAUUCAUAACUCAUAAUAUGCAUGCAUGGCAUUUUAGAAAUAUAAUUUCAUAUAAACGCAUUUUCUGGGAAAACAGUAGUAUAUAGGUAAUACGAAAACAAAACUGCCCACUCACUGAUAAGUCGAUGGGUCGUAACCCCCGUGACGUCCCUGGAUGCGCUCGUCCUCAGGAUAGGUGUCACCUAUAUGCGAAACAAUUAUAAAAACGUUAAUUUAAACACAUAACCAACAAUUCGAAAUAACUUCUCAUACGAUGCUCAAUUUGGGUAU